AGUCGAACGCGAAAGCCCGCAAGGGUGAGUAGAGUGGCGCACGGGUGAGUAACACGUGGACAACCUGCCUUCGAGUGGGGAAUAACCUUCCGAAAGGAGGGCUAAUACCGCAUAACACCUCGGAGCACAAGUUCUGGGGUUGAAAAGAGCAAUUUGCUCGAAGAGGGGUCCGCGCCUGAUUAGCUAGUUGGUGAGGUAAUGGCUCACCAAGGCUUCGAUCAGUAGCCGUCCUGAGAGGGAGCACGGCCACACUGGAACUGAGACACGGUCCAGACUCCUACGGGAGGCAGCAGUGGGGAAUUUUUGGCAAUGGGCGAAAGCCUGACCAAGCAACGCCGCGUGGGUGAUGAAGUAUCUUGGUACGUAAAACCCUUUCGGCAGGAACGAACCUAAUGACGGUACCUGCGGAAGAAGCCCCGGCUAACUCCGUGCCAGCAGCCGCGGUAAUACGGGGGGGGCAAGCGUUGUUCGGAAUUACUGGGCGUAAAGGGCGCGUAGGCGGUUGGAUAAGUCAGCUGUGAAAACCACGGGCUUAACUCGUGGCCUGCAGUUGAGACUGUCUGGCUUGAGUGUGGGAGAGGAGAGUGGAAUUCCUGGUGUAGCGGUGAAAUGCGUAGAUAUCAGGAGGAACACCGGUGGCGAAGGCGGCUCUCUGG
Molecule: ribosomal RNA, 656 nt
Filed under: uncultured Acidobacteriota bacterium
Lineage: Bacteria; Pseudomonadati; Acidobacteriota
Description: bacterial SSU rRNA
Rfam family: Bacterial small subunit ribosomal RNA
Source: RNAcentral